UCUCACUUCUGUAUCUGAUCUUCGUUGGUUGGAGACAGACCUCACAAUCUAAACUGACCCCAACUGGCUAACAACUUAUAACUUUUCUAAAUAGGUAAAGGCAACAGAGAACAAAGGAAAAGAGGAAGUCCAAAUAAGGAAUGGAG
Sapajus apella (tufted capuchin) is the source of this 146-nucleotide long non-coding RNA. RefSeq lists it as uncharacterized. Lineage: Eukaryota; Metazoa; Chordata; Mammalia; Primates; Cebidae. The record is from RefSeq and is a predicted model, not a curated record. The transcript has 3 exons.